GCCUGGUUAGCUUACUUGGCGAGAGCGUGGUGCUGAUAAUGCCAAGGUUGCAGGUUCGAUCCCUGUAUGUCCCAGGUA
This is a non-coding RNA of Podarcis lilfordi (Lilford's wall lizard), 78 nucleotides long. The record is from the annotation of a GenBank genome assembly. NCBI's taxonomy places the organism in Eukaryota, Metazoa, Chordata, Lepidosauria, Squamata, Lacertidae.